RNAcentral lists this ribosomal RNA (384 nucleotides) under uncultured bacterium. Its description in RNAcentral is "bacterial SSU rRNA". It matches the Rfam family "Bacterial small subunit ribosomal RNA", at positions 27 to 439 of the family's 1533-position model. The record is from RNAcentral.
GAUUGAACGCUGGCGGCAUGGCUAAAGCAUGCAAGUCAACGUGCCCGCAAGGGCAAGUGGCGGAAGGGUCAGUAAGACGAUCGAACGUGCCCCGAGGUGGGGGAUAGGGUGGGGAAACCCGCCGUAAUACCCCAUGUGCUCUACGGAGGAAAGGCUUGUCCGCCUCGGGAGCGGCGAUCGGCCUAUCAGGUAGUUGGUGGGGUAACGGCCCACAAGCCGAAGACGGGUAGCAGGUGUGAGAGCAUGACCUGCGACAUCGGGACUGAGACACUGCCCGGACUCCUACGGGAGGCUGCAGCGACGAAUCUUCCGCAAUGGGCGAAAGCCUGACGGAGCAAUGCCGCGUGCGGGAUGAAGCGGCUUCGCCGUGUAAACCGCUGUCGA